RNAcentral lists this ribosomal RNA (253 nucleotides) under uncultured bacterium. RNAcentral's name for it is "partial 16S ribosomal RNA". It matches the Rfam family "Bacterial small subunit ribosomal RNA", at positions 524 to 776 of the family's 1533-position model. The record is from RNAcentral.
UACGUAGGUGGCAAGCGUUGUCCGGAAUUACUGGGUGUAAAGCGCGUGUAGGCGGUCGGGCAAGUCGGAUGUGAAAGCCCAGGGCUCAACCCUGGAAGUGCACUCGAUACUGCUCGGCUAGAGUCCCGGAGAGGAUGGUGGAACUCUCGGUGUAGAGGUGAAAUUCGUAGAUAUCGAGAAGAACACCGGUGGCGAAGGCGGCCAUCUGGACGGUGACUGACGCUGAGACGCGAAAGCGUGGGGAGCAAACAGG